This 261-nucleotide ribosomal RNA is filed under the name uncultured bacterium. RNAcentral describes it as "partial 16S ribosomal RNA". It matches the Rfam family "Bacterial small subunit ribosomal RNA", at positions 793 to 1055 of the family's 1533-position model. The record is from RNAcentral.
GUCCACGCUGUAAACGUUGGGCACUAGGUGUGGGACUCUAUCGACGGGUUCCGUGCCGUAGCUAACGCAUUAAGUGCCCCGCCUGGGGAGUACGGCCGCAAGGCUAAAACUCAAAGGAAUUGACGGGGGCCCGCACAAGCGGCGGAGCAUGUUGCUUAAUUCGAUGCAACGCGAAGAACCUUACCUGGGCUUGACAUGGAGAGAAAAGCAGCGGAAACGUUGUGUCCUCGGGUUCGUCCACAGGUGGUGCAUGGCUGUCGU